This 503-nucleotide ribosomal RNA is filed under the name uncultured bacterium. Its description in RNAcentral is "bacterial SSU rRNA". It matches the Rfam family "Bacterial small subunit ribosomal RNA", at positions 355 to 873 of the family's 1533-position model. The record is from RNAcentral.
CAAGGAAUUUUCGGCAAUGGGGGCAACCCUGACCGAGCAACGCCGCGUGCAGGAUGACGGCCUUCGGGUUGUAAACUGCUUUUGCGAGGGAUGAUUUGGACAGUACCUCGUGAAUAAGGCUCGGCUAACUCUGUGCCAGCAGCCGCGGUAAGACAGAGGAGCCAAGCGUUGUCCGGAUUUACUGGGCGUAAAGCGCACGCAGGUGGUUGCGCACGUGCCGUGUGAAAGCCGGCGGCUUAACUGCCGGAGGCCAUGGCAGACUGCGCGACUUGAGGCCGUGAGAGGUCCGUGGAAUUGCCGGUGUAGUGGUGAAAUGCGUAGAGAUCGGCAGGAACACCCAAGGGGAAACCAGCGGACUGGCACGGUGCUGACACUGAGGUGCGAAAGCGUGGGGAGCGAACUGGAUUAGAUACCCAGGUAGUCCACGCCGUAAACGAUGGAUACUCGCCCUGUGGCGGCUCAAUGCCGUUGCGGGGCCAAGCUAACGCGAUAAGUAUCCCGCC